UACUCAUUUCACCUGGGAUUGUUGAUUAGGCUGCUUCAAGGGAAAUCCUAUUCUUGAAGGUGGCUUUGACCAUCUGGAGGAGGAAAUGAUAGAUAUCCUUACCACAUCUUCGUGCAUGGCCUGCCCGGAUACAACUGCGUGGGUACUGCGAUGGAGCACAAACAAACGCGACCGCUAAAGUCGUGUAGGGUGUUUCCCUUUCAUGUCUGAAUUUGUUUAGACAGUUACACAAUCAGAGAGCGCGGAAUGAGAGAAAACAAAACCCAGGAGAAAGGAAUGCUUUGAAUCUAGGUCCCUGGGCCUUGAUACUUUUUCUUUGUUAAAUCAACCCAAGGCCCCUCCAUAUGCUGAUCAUCUUUUGCCAAUGUCUGUGUCUGAACAGGUUUUCCCAGGCAUAUAGCUCAGAAAGAACCUUUCAUCCUCCUUUUCCUGUUAUGUGUAUAAUGUGGUGUAGCCCAAAGCCACUGUGGGUUCUAAUUUGCAUGUCUAUUUCAAGAAGCCCGGAAACUAUUUGCAUAAGACUCUUGCUUCCUGAGAGAUCCCAGCAGAAGGAUGUAGAGAUAGAGUCUUUCAUUUUUUCAUUUAGUUCUAGAUAUCCAUAGUGAGAGAUCUGUGUGUCUAAACCCUAAAAUCUGUAGAAUGUGCAUGAAAAAAUCUACCACCCUAAGCGUAAGGAGAGCUAGUACAGAUGAGGAUGUCGUGGCAGAAAUUAGUACAAAAAACAUUACAACAUUUUGUAAUUUUUCUAACUUCAAGUAUUUUUUGGAGGUUUGUUGUAGAACUAUGGAAACUUGAAACAUAAAGCAAGACUAUUUAAAGG
RNAcentral lists this long non-coding RNA (820 nucleotides) under Homo sapiens (human). Its description in RNAcentral is "HSALNT0356549". Lineage: Eukaryota; Metazoa; Chordata; Mammalia; Primates; Hominidae. The record is from RNAcentral.